GUCUAUGGCCAUGCCACCUUGAACAUGCCUGAUCUUGUCUAAUCUCAGAAGCUAAGCAGGGUCAGGCCUGGUUAGUACUUGGAUGGGAAACCACCUAGGAAUACCAGAUGCUGUAGGUG
This 119-nucleotide ribosomal RNA is filed under the name Pteropus alecto (black flying fox). Lineage: Eukaryota; Metazoa; Chordata; Mammalia; Chiroptera; Pteropodidae. The record is from RNAcentral.